AAAGAAUCAUCUCGCACAAGAUGUCAAUAGCACCAAGAAUGAAGUAGAAGACUGCUCUCCUAUAGCAAAAAAUCUUCUACAGCAACAGCAAUGAAGAUCCAAAAGGGUGACGACCUAAGACAAUCUGCCCCCAGCCUUGAGAAUACUAGCUGGAAAGUGUGGGGGAGAAGUGACUUUGGCAAGAGUACUUCUGCUCACAGACAAAACAGGAAGUAGCUUCCUCCCCUAAAGAAAGCUAGCUCUUCCAGGGAGUGUGAAAGCCUACGUUACCUUUUGCGAAUUCAAGAGUUGGUCUCAUUGUGCCAAAAACUUAAAAUAGAUUCCACAACUGAAGGUUUCUAAAGUUGCUAUACUUUUUGAAGAACAUCUCAUGGGAAAAAGUUUAUUUAGGCAAAAAACAGACAGUUUUCUCCAGUCAUAAAAGAUUUAUUGUGUGAGAGACUUGCUAUACCAGAGACUGGAGAUACUGUAACAAAAUUCAUCUGCCACAAAAAUGUACAACUACUUUCAAAGAUAAUGAAAAAUUCACAGCUCAGUUUUUUCUUUAACAGAAUUGGUAUCAUUUUCAAGUAGAGUAAGAAGGCAUAUGUUCUUCAGUUUUAAUGUGGAAAAGAAAAGCGUUUUAUUUUUCUGUGA
RNAcentral lists this long non-coding RNA (636 nucleotides) under Homo sapiens (human). RNAcentral describes it as "non-protein coding lnc-CHAC2-2:1". The record is from RNAcentral. Lineage: Eukaryota; Metazoa; Chordata; Mammalia; Primates; Hominidae.